ACGACUCUCGGCAACGGAUAUCUCGGCUCACGCAUCGAUGAAGAACGUAGCAAAAUGCGAUACUUGGUGUGAAUUGCAGAAUCCCGUGAACCAUCGAGUUUUUGAACGCAAGUUGCGCCCGAAGCCUUUUGGCCGAGGGCACGUCUGCCUGGGCGUCA
RNAcentral lists this ribosomal RNA (158 nucleotides) under Artemisia annua (sweet wormwood). Its description in RNAcentral is "5.8S ribosomal RNA". It matches the Rfam family "5.8S ribosomal RNA". From Rfam's summary of the family: 5.8S ribosomal RNA (5.8S rRNA) is a component of the large subunit of the eukaryotic ribosome. RNAcentral also lists the same sequence under 5 other names. Lineage: Eukaryota; Viridiplantae; Streptophyta; Magnoliopsida; Asterales; Asteraceae. The record is from RNAcentral.